GGGGGGGGGGGGGAAAGUGAGUGGCUUAGGGGUCACUUAUGACCUCUACCCCUCUUGUAACGUCAAAUAAUAACCCUAAUUACAGCUUAUGGACAAUAUUGCUCUUAUUUAGAGACAUAAGAGAAAUAAGGACUAUAUAUAAAUGACAGUUAUGUCCAUCAAAUACAAUAAAGCUUAUUCUUUUUAUUUCUAACAACAAGCAAUGGUGCUUCAGUUUUCAAAUGUUGAAUUAACUGGCCUUGAAUGCUUUAAGGCAAUAUCUCAAUUUUUGGAUGGUAUAAUUGGGAAACUCCUGACAGCUGCCAAUAGUUUCAGGUCUAAGUGGACAAUAAUAUGUAGCCUUUGUUCAUCUUUUAGAAUUGGAUGCCUGAGGAAGAUAACCAAUCUGGACCAUCGAUUCACACAAGCUGCAUCACCAUAAUAUCACAUAGAAAUAGAUAAUUGCAUGCAUAUAUGCUUAUGCUAACAAGUGCCAAAGCAGGAAAUUUCCCUGAAUUUUCCAUCCUCUUGUUUACUGUCAAUGAUGCAUAAUUUCCACACCCCUUUCAAUCUGUAUAAGACCAUCAUAUUACAUAGUAUAAAGGAGAAAUUCCUAUAUAUUUUUGUCUACAAGCUCCAGAUUGCAAAUUUCUAGGAAAGUUCAUUCUCUCAAUUACUACAACGUAUAGGUACUUCUCAUUCAAUUCCAUAUAAAAUUGCAAAGGUGUCACAAUGGGCACCAUUAAUAUUGUCCACAGGUAUGUGUUCGUUUGGGAUGCCACAUGUGUGGGGUUGUGGCUUGCAAAGUCUAUAUUCCAACUUUGCACUUGUUUAGUGCAUAAUAUGAGCACAAUGGUCUCAAUGAAGAAAUUUUCCAUAACGUCAAAUAACGAGGGUGGUGAAUGGAAAGGACCGAGGCAGCUGCGCCUGGCUUCAAAAACUUGAUAUGGUUAUUUUGCAGUGUGUGUGUGGUCUGGAUUUGGAUAUGAAGCCAAUUCUGUUGUGCCCAUGGUGGAAUCUCGAAUAUAUUGCAUUAAAUGGACUGACGUUAUCAAGCCUUACUUUCCAUUGAAUUGCCCUUGUGGUUUUGCACUUGAACUCACCAUAAUCAAUGAGCAGGAGUAAACCAUAGAUUUAUGGACUCUCAGAAUGAUUUUAUUUCCUAUUUCCUUAAUUAUUUACUUUUCUCUUCCUAAUAAUGUCACUUAAUCUAAUUUCUUUUGUAUAGGAGAACUAAAGGAGACCAAGACAUAUCACAAAUGGGUGAAGAAGAUUGCUGAAAGACAGCCACCCAUAGACCCUCUGCGACCAAAAAAAUCCAAGAAGAAAGCUGAAACAGAUCUAAUGGCUGCCAUCUCGCAACGCAGAGAGGCAAGGAAAGAGCUGAUUGAUUCCAUGUUCUCGUCCUUCCUAACAAAAUAUGGUGACAAAAGCCAAAAUGGCAAUAAAUUUGGUUCUGAACCAACAGCAGAAGAGUUUGAAGCUGCUAGAAAGAGACUGGAAGCCGGCAAGCAAAAGAAGAAAGCGAAGUCUUGACUAUGUUUUGGUUAUGUAAAGAAUUGUUGCUAUCAAAGUACUGUCUUUUCUGAAAAAUUGUUUGCUCUGUUUUAUUACAUUAACAACAAUGAAAGCAACAGAAAUGCUAUGCAGCAAUAUCCAGUGGCUGGAAUCUGGCUACUAGGUAUUUCUGGGAGCAGCAUGGUGUGUUCUUGGUUUUGAUAUUUUCAGUCUUCAUCUUUGAAUUCCCUGCGAAAUGGAAUUUGUAUUAAUAGCAAGAAAAAACUUAUAAUGCAAGAAGUUCAGUUAUUUGAGUUUCUGAUGUAAAUACGCCUAAAAUAAUGAAUGUGAGUGUUUGUCA
This is a non-coding RNA of Amborella trichopoda, 1837 nucleotides long. Lineage: Eukaryota; Viridiplantae; Streptophyta; Magnoliopsida; Amborellales; Amborellaceae. The record is from RefSeq and is a predicted model, not a curated record.